Molecule: ribosomal RNA, 468 nt
Filed under: uncultured bacterium
Lineage: Bacteria
Description: partial 16S ribosomal RNA
Rfam family: Bacterial small subunit ribosomal RNA
Source: RNAcentral
GACGAACGCUGGCGGCGUGCUUAACACAUGCAAGUCGAACGGAAAGGCCCUGCUUUUGUGGGGUGCUCGAGUGGCGAACGGGUGAGUAACACGUGAGUAACCUGCCCUUGACUUUGGGAUAACUUCAGGAAACUGGGGCUAAUACCGGAUAGGAGCUCCUGCUGCAUGGUGGGGGUUGGAAAGUUUCGGCGGUUGGGGAUGGACUCGCGGCUUAUCAGCUUGUUGGUGGGGUAGUGGCUUACCAAGGCUUUGACGGGUAGCCGGCCUGAGAGGGUGACCGGCCACAUUGGGACUGAGAUACGGCCCAGACUCGUACGGGAGGCAGCGGUGGGGAAGAUUGCACAAUGGGCGGAAGCCUGAUGCAGCAACGCCGCGUGCGGGAUGACGGCCUUCGGGUUGUAAACCGCUUUCGCCUGUGACGAAGAGUGAGUGACGGUAAUGGGUAAAGAAGCACCGGCUAACUACGUG